UGCCUGCAAGGAUCAGUAACAUACUUAAAUUAGUGUGAGGAAGACAUUAUACAGAUGUAAAUAUUAGUCCAUUACCAUUAGAUCUCAUAUUAAGUUUAUCAUUUAUAAGAGUGAAAACACAAACAUAAGUAAUGCACACAGCAAUGUAGAAUCAAAUGACCAACAAAUGCUAUUGGCGCAAAACAUGCUGAUGACCACUCUCAAUUCAAAAGCUUGACUUGUUAAAGAUCUUGGACUUGUAUAGCUUUGAGUUUGAUUGAAUUACAAGGAUACUGCAUCAAUGUCUCAAUGUACUCAGCCUUCCCUCAGUUUAUUAGAAAGGACACUGACAGACAAAAGUCUGAAGCCAUGACGCAGCGGAUAGAAAAGAGUAGAUUCUUGAUCAAGGAGCUUACUGCGUGUAUGUUACUCAUAUUAUGCUUCAGCACUCAAAGGUUUUAGGAUAUAUUCCAUGUAUGACACCCACUUCAUAAGUAUCAGGAUCACUGCCCAAUGUAGGAUGUUUUAUGGUCCUUAGGGGAUCGAUAUCUGCAUUGCUUCUAAAGUAGAGGACUUCACUUUCAAUAAGUAUGUAUAUCUCUCGGGAUUUCAGACAGGGAAGAGACUAAUAUAGGGAGAAAUAUAAAGAGAACGGUGUAAAUUAGGAAAAUAAAGAGACUAAAAAGAUAUUGGAUACAGAAUCAGAAAGCGUGAGUGUCCGUGGAAGCUCGAUGAGAUUCUAACUUUCUGCUUUAGCAAUGCUUACAUGUAAUAUACUUAUCUGUACUAUUUAAGAAUGAAGAAGACAGCUCCAAUAUUGCACCCUUAUAAUUAAUCAACAGUUAACCUGUAAGUGCUUGACAAGGAUAUUAUAACCGAUAUUGGCCUAUACAAAAAAAAAACUGAUGUAAUAAUUCAGCAGACUAACGUCAGUGGAUUAGUUACUAUUCUAACAAUUACAGUCCUGUUCUUUAAGAUCUUAUCAUGCAUAGCUUUGUAUUCAAUAAUGAGUCUAAAAUCUGGAACUCUUCUGUCAAAGUAACAGUACUGACCACAUCAUAGUAGUUAUGCUGAGUGUAGCUAAUACUACAAAUAUCAAGUGAACAUAUAUUUUUUUUUCAAAUGUUAGUCUCAAAUAAUUAAAACAGAUCUAUAAAGCCUUAUAUUUAAUAAUGAUAAACCAGCUAGGUGGUUAUCUUAAAAAUCCCAAGUCCACACUCAACAUAUAAACAGGCCUUUAUACUACUCUACCAAGUACAAUGCCCAGUGCCUUAUAAUUAUUUCAAGGGAAUCUGGAAGUUAAUUGUUAUUAGACAGCAAAAUAAUAAAAUAAGUGAAUAGCUAUACAUUUAUAUCGCAUGCCCGUCUAAAUUGUUAUUAAAGAAAUAAAAUUCCACCCAACAGACAUACUACGCGUUUUUUUUAAAAGCAAAGCUAUUCUGUGUUGACACCACAAAUUGACAAAGUCUAUUUAACUUCUACCAGAAAUAGUUGUCAGGAAACUCAGUAUUAAAAGUAUUUUGUUCUGUCAUAUGCACCAUCCUCGUUCUUUAAUGUCAAAGCAAAGCUGAUUCUGUUUUACGCUUCCAACUACUCAUAAUUACAACGUACGAGUUAUGCUUCACAGUCACACCCUAUCAUAUACCCAUGCUUCGAGAGGUUGUGUAUGCAUGAUGAAAUUGAUGUGAAUUCGAUUAUUUGCGAAAUGAUCAGAAAUAUUAAGAAGGAAAAUUCAACCUUUGAUAACCCAUGAAAAUUUAUUGGCAACAGACUUGGAGUAGCAUCUUUGUCCUCGUCAGGUGUGAGUACCACUAAUGAAUCCGCCUGAAGGGAUAUCGGAUGCUCUGUUUUAUUGACAACUUGCAGUUCCGGACCAACAGUGUCUAGCAUAACCUUAAAUGUUUAGAAUUCAUAUAGAGAUAUUAAUCCUUAAACACAUAGAACAAGCUUUUAAAGGAGUAAACUGCAUAAUAUUGACUAAACUAUGUAAGAACAAAAUAUACUACAAACUUACAGCACACAGCUUCUUUGUACUUUUGAUUGCCACCUUCAGGUUUUCUAAUGUUUCCUGGUGAAACUCAGUGUCACCCCAUGAAAAAUCAAACCGUGCAACUACAAGAGGAACAUAAGUAGUCUAAUCAAUGAUACACGAAAUUAUGAUAUAAUAUUAUAUACAGUUUGUUGUUAAAUCAGUUGCAACAGGGAAAUACUAUGCUGCCAGAGUCAAAUUUGGGAACACAGUUACAGUCUUAUUAAUUCACUAAAAUCUAUAAGGUAAAACCAUGAAACCACAAACCAAUGACAGCACUUGUUAAUCUCCAUUUACAAGUAAAACUCUGCAUUUAACUUUAAACUCUCAAAAUGAAUAAUUUAAUGUAUACUUUCUACUCCAUGCGAUAAUUUCCGUAUAUAUAUAAAUUUUAACUUUAAACUCUCAAAAUAUAUAAUUUAAUGUAUACUUUCUACUCCAUGCGAUAAUUUCCGUGUGUGAGAGAGCUACUGUAUGACUAAAGACAUUCCUCGCCUGAUCUAUACUUUAAAGUUUUAACAACUGAAUACAGUAGUAACCUAUAAUAGACAUGCACACUCAGCGUCACUAAAUCACAAGUCAAAUAAACAACAUGUACAAAUAAAUUAACCUUCCAAUCUGUAAAAGAGAGACUUACCACUUCAGAUAAUACACUCUUGCUUGAUCUAUUACUUUUAGAAACUCAAUACAGAGUACUAAAUUACUAAUCUAGUGUACACUCACACACACACACACUCAUGUACACACACCAUUAGCGCUACCAAGGCACAUAUCAAACAAACAGCAUAUCACAAAAAAUAAAUAAAUGAGUUUUAAAUCCGUAAACUAGCGAGUAUGACUAGAGACAAUCGACUAGUUAAUUCAUACUAUUAAAACCACGAUACCGUAUCGUAAAUGAUAGAGCUAGCCACGGAAACAACAGAUACAGGAAACAAGUAUUUCUAAUUCCGAAAGUAUACACUUAACUUGAUCCGUACUUUCUACUCGACACAGUAGUAGUCUAAUCUACAACAAUAGACAAACACUGUAACACUGCAUAAUUGAAUCGCAAGCACAAGAAAUUAAAAAAAUUAGAAAAAUGAUUAAAAAAAAUUAGUUACCUGACAUUCCAGCAUUUAAGCAACCAGAAAUAACAUCGACCGAUCGAGAGUUAGGGCCGAGUGUUCCGACGAUCUUCGACAUAGCAGGAAAAAAGUUCUACAAAUAAUCAUGUCAACACAACAUCAACUUAAUUAGUGUUGAAAUCAAGUCAAUAAAAGUCAAGCUUAAGUUGAAUUGAGAUCUUAGCCAAAGUGAUGGAGUGGAGAUGAUGUGAACUUACAGGCUUCGAAGGCUCGAGAAUGGAGGCCAUGCGUAUAGGCUCCUCGAGAAGCAAGUGAUGAGAAUGCAUCUUGAGCGAGAGAGAGAGGGAGAGGGAGAGAGAGAGAGAGCAGGUGGUGAAUAUGUGUGUGUGAAUGUGUGUUUUUGGACAGAAAUUUGGUUGUUAUGAAUUUAUGAUGUGUGUAUACUGGAUAAUUAUAAAAAGAGGGGGUUUAAUAUAUUUUAAAUAUGGAAUCUUUUUAGCAUCUGGAUUGGUUUAUUGAGAUAUAGUAAAAGCAGUGCUAUCCGUAUCUUGGUUUAUUAAAACAAAUUAUUAAUCUUUAUAAAAAUUUCAUUAAUUUAGUAAUUAUAGUUUAAUUUAAUUAAAAUAUUGAUCUAUUUAAAAUUUCUCGAUAAAUAUUGUUUAAAAUCAACUGAUAAAUUCUGAUUUUUGACUUUGACAAUAAUAAUAAUAAUAAUAAUAAUAAUAAUAUGAAUUAUUGGGCAAGUUAUCUUGAUUAUUCUUAUUUUUUACUACGAAAUUUUGUAAUAAAAUCAUUUAAUUUUAUACUAAAUUAUAAGUAGAAGUUCACGUAUAAUUGUAAGUUAUUAAUUAUUAUUGAAUAAUUUAUCAUCAUAUGUAAACUAGGGCUAGCACGCGAGUGUGUUUUAUUGAAAAAAAUGUAAACUAUUUUUCCUUUUUUUUUCCAAUAAUGAGAAAAUAAAAAGUUAUAUAUUAUGUCAAUUGGAAGAUUAAUUAAUAUAAUGCACAUGUACUAUUUAAAGUUGCUUACAUCACAUUUAUAUACUAUACAAUUAUUUAUAUAAUAAAGUUUUAAAUAUUUUUAAUUCAGUUUUAUAUAAAAACUGUAGUCUCCAAAUUUUUUGAAGAACGCUGAAUAAUACAAUUAUCAGUUUCAAAAGAAUGAUUUGUUUGGAUAUUUUAUAAGCCAAUACAAUUUUGUUUUCAAAGCUUUAACUUUAAAAAAGAAUAUAUGUUUCAAAUUAUUAUUUAACGAUUAUAAGAGUUUGUUAUCCAAAAAUGUAAGCGAUACACGUCUAUAUAAUAAGUAUAUUUAUAACUAAAAAUGAUUAGUCCUUGAAAAAAUCACAUAAAAGAAAGUAUAAAUUAGAAGUGUUUGAUGGUAUUAGAAAGCUGAAAUCCAAAUCUGAAUCAGAUGGUUUCUGGAUUAAAGAAAACAAGUGGCGAUGUGACUCUUUUAAUACUGUAAACUUUCUUUCACGGUUUCAACUUUAUACUUCUGCUGACUAUUUUUCACUUAAAAUACACCUCAAUCAUUGGAAUGGUUACCCUUUCGUCAACUAAACUAUUGGGACAAUAAAUAAAAUAAAUUAUAUGAAAAUUAUCCCCUAACAAUAAUUCGUUGUUUUGAUUGACUAUAGUUAAAAUUAGUACAAUAAUUAAUCAUUUUAAUAUAUAAUAUACAUAUUUAAGCUUUACAUGGAACAAAAUAGAUUACAAUUGUGCUUAGCAAAAAAAAAGUAAUUAUUAAGUUGAAAUUGAUCCUUACUGAGCAGUUCGUAAUAUGUUACUCCCUCUAUCUCCUAGGUAGUUUUUGUAGGGAGAGUUCGGCACUCUUAAAAAAACAUAGUUCCGUAUCUUAUUUUUUUUUUAUUUUUUUUGCUUUUGAAUAAAAAUUUGGUGUUGACUUUUUAUACAUAAAAAAAAUUUAAAAGUAAGUUAUGAAAUUAUGUUUUAUAAAAACUUUAAAAUGCGUGUUAAACUGUAAAUAAAUAAGAGGGACGGAAAAAUUAGUUCUUAAUACGGUCUAAUUUUGAUUUUUCGCAUCAUGCCUAGUGUUACAACUGCACCCUGCACCCGUAGUGAUGCUGCGAUAACUUUAUUGUAAUUGAUUUAAGGGGGAAAGAAUUAAUAAGAUUGACGGUUCUAGAUGAAGGCGGGCGGACCAGAGGAGCAUUUUAUGAGAGAGAAUUGUCAAGAAAAGGAGAGAAUGAAUUUCAAAGUUACGGAAGAAUGCAGUCCACCGGAAGUUGUAAACAAGGGGAAGAAGAGAUGAUCAUGCAAAAAAAAAAAAAANUCAAAGGUUUUAGGAUAUAUUCCAUGUAUGACACCCACUUCAUAAGUAUCAGGAUCACUGCCCAAUGUAGGAUGUUUUAUGGUCCUUAGGGGAUCGAUAUCUGCAUUGCUUCUAAAGUAGAGGACUUCACUUUCAAUAAGUAUGUAUAUCUCUCGGGAUUUCAGACAGGGAAGAGACUAAUAUAGGGAGAAAUAUAAAGAGAACGGUGUAAAUUAGGAAAAUAAAGAGACUAAAAAGAUAUUGGAUACAGAAUCAGAAAGCGUGAGUGUCCGUGGAAGCUCGAUGAGAUUCUAACUUUCUGCUUUAGCAAUGCUUACAUGUAAUAUACUUAUCUGUACUAUUUAAGAAUGAAGAAGACAGCUCCAAUAUUGCACCCUUAUAAUUAAUCAACAGUUAACCUGUAAGUGCUUGACAAGGAUAUUAUAACCGAUAUUGGCCUAUACAAAAAAAAAACUGAUGUAAUAAUUCAGCAGACUAACGUCAGUGGAUUAGUUACUAUUCUAACAAUUACAGUCCUGUUCUUUAAGAUCUUAUCAUGCAUAGCUUUGUAUUCAAUAAUGAGUCUAAAAUCUGGAACUCUUCUGUCAAAGUAACAGUACUGACCACAUCAUAGUAGUUAUGCUGAGUGUAGCUAAUACUACAAAUAUCAAGUGAACAUAUAUUUUUUUUUCAAAUGUUAGUCUCAAAUAAUUAAAACAGAUCUAUAAAGCCUUAUAUUUAAUAAUGAUAAACCAGCUAGGUGGUUAUCUUAAAAAUCCCAAGUCCACACUCAACAUAUAAACAGGCCUUUAUACUACUCUACCAAGUACAAUGCCCAGUGCCUUAUAAUUAUUUCAAGGGAAUCUGGAAGUUAAUUGUUAUUAGACAGCAAAAUAAUAAAAUAAGUGAAUAGCUAUACAUUUAUAUCGCAUGCCCGUCUAAAUUGUUAUUAAAGAAAUAAAAUUCCACCCAACAGACAUACUACGCGUUUUUUUUAAAAGCAAAGCUAUUCUGUGUUGACACCACAAAUUGACAAAGUCUAUUUAACUUCUACCAGAAAUAGUUGUCAGGAAACUCAGUAUUAAAAGUAUUUUGUUCUGUCAUAUGCACCAUCCUCGUUCUUUAAUGUCAAAGCAAAGCUGAUUCUGUUUUACGCUUCCAACUACUCAUAAUUACAACGUACGAGUUAUGCUUCACAGUCACACCCUAUCAUAUACCCAUGCUUCGAGAGGUUGUGUAUGCAUGAUGAAAUUGAUGUGAAUUCGAUUAUUUGCGAAAUGAUCAGAAAUAUUAAGAAGGAAAAUUCAACCUUUGAUAACCCAUGAAAAUUUAUUGGCAACAGACUUGGAGUAGCAUCUUUGUCCUCGUCAGGUGUGAGUACCACUAAUGAAUCCGCCUGAAGGGAUAUCGGAUGCUCUGUUUUAUUGACAACUUGCAGUUCCGGACCAACAGUGUCUAGCAUAACCUUAAAUGUUUAGAAUUCAUAUAGAGAUAUUAAUCCUUAAACACAUAGAACAAGCUUUUAAAGGAGUAAACUGCAUAAUAUUGACUAAACUAUGUAAGAACAAA
This 6915-nucleotide long non-coding RNA is filed under the name Daucus carota (carrot). RNAcentral's name for it is "long non-coding RNA (DCAR_LNC001334)". The record is from RNAcentral. Lineage: Eukaryota; Viridiplantae; Streptophyta; Magnoliopsida; Apiales; Apiaceae.